RNAcentral lists this ribosomal RNA (492 nucleotides) under uncultured bacterium. RNAcentral's name for it is "partial 16S ribosomal RNA". It matches the Rfam family "Bacterial small subunit ribosomal RNA", at positions 29 to 507 of the family's 1533-position model. The record is from RNAcentral.
AGUGAACGCUGGCGGUAGGCCUAACACAUGCAAGUCGAACGGCAGCACAGUAAGAGCUUGCUCUUACGGGUGGCGAGUGGCGGACGGGUGAGGAAUACAUCGGAAUCUACUUUUUCGUGGGGGAUAACGUAGGGAAACUUACGCUAAUACCGCAUACGACCUACGGGUGAAAGCAGGGGAUCUUCGGACCUUGCGCGAUUGAAUGAGCCGAUGUCGGAUUAGCUAGUUGGCGGGGUAAAGGCCCACCAAGGCGACGAUACGUAGCCGGUCUGAGAGGAUGAUCCGCCCCACUGGAACUGAGACCCGGUCCAGACUCCUUCGGGGGGCAGCAGGGGGGAAUUUUUGGCAAUGGGCGGAAACCUUACGCAGCCACUCCCCGUGGGGGAAGAAGGGCUUCCGGUUUUAAAACCCUUUUUUUUGGGAAAAAAAAAUGGGUGAUUAACUCCCCGCUUUUUGACGGGACCCAAACAGAAAGCCACCGCUAACUUUGUG